UAGGUAAAAUGUAGCAUUGCUAUAUCCU
This 28-nucleotide small RNA is filed under the name Bombyx mori (domestic silkworm). RNAcentral describes it as "ovarian small RNA-22730". Lineage: Eukaryota; Metazoa; Arthropoda; Insecta; Lepidoptera; Bombycidae. The record is from RNAcentral.